This 719-nucleotide ribosomal RNA is filed under the name uncultured bacterium. RNAcentral's name for it is "bacterial SSU rRNA". It matches the Rfam family "Bacterial small subunit ribosomal RNA", at positions 9 to 716 of the family's 1533-position model. The record is from RNAcentral.
GAGUUUGAUCCUGGCUCAGGAUGAACGCUAGCGGCAGGCUUAAUACAUGCAAGUCGAGGGGCAGCAGGUCCCGCAGCAAUGCGGGAUGCUGGCGACCGGCAAACGGGUGCGGAACACGUACGCAACUUUCCUUCAAGUGAGGAAUAGCCCAGGGAAACUUGGAUUAAUACCUCGUAAUAUUAUGAAGUGGCAUCACUUUAUAAUUAUAGCUCCGGCGCUUGAAGAUGGGCGUGCGCCUGAUUAGGUAGUUGGCGGGGUAACGGCCCACCAAGCCUACGAUCAGUAACUGGUGUGAGAGCACGACCAGUCACACGGGCACUGAGACACGGGCCCGACUCCUACGGGAGGCAGCAGUAAGGAAUAUUGGGCAAUGGACGCAAGUCUGACCCAGCCAUGCCGCGUGGAGGAUGAAGGUCCUCUGGAUUGUAAACUUCUUUUAUCUGGGAAGAAAUCCAUAUUUUCUAAUGUGGUUGACGGUACCAGAUGAAUAAGCACCGGCUAACUCCGUGCCAGCAGCCGCGGUAAUACGGAGGGUGCAAGCGUUAUCCGGAUUCACUGGGUUUAAAGGGUGCGUAGGUGGGCAGGUAAGUCAGUGGUGAAAUCUCCGGGCUUAACUCGGAAACUGCCGUUGAUACUAUCUGUCUUGAAUAUCGUGGGGGUUUAGCGGAAUAUGUCAUGUAGCGGUGAAAUGCUUAGAUAUGACAUAGAACACCGAUUGC